This 349-nucleotide transfer-messenger RNA is filed under the name Bacillota bacterium. RNAcentral describes it as "Firmicutes bacterium (gut metagenome) transfer-messenger RNA". It matches the Rfam family "transfer-messenger RNA". From Rfam's summary of the family: Bacterial tmRNA, also known as 10Sa RNA or SsrA, is named for its dual tRNA and mRNA-like properties. Its role is to liberate the mRNA from a stalled ribosome. The record is from RNAcentral. RNAcentral also lists the same sequence under 1 other name. Lineage: Bacteria; Bacillati; Bacillota.
GGGGAUGCAAUGGUUUCGACGGGGGUUGUGAGCCUUCGUAAGCGAGUAGCGGUGCGGGGCCGCUAUAAAAUCCGCAACCUUAAAAUUAAACGACAACAAUACUGUUGCUGUUGCUGCCUAAUUAAGGCGGCCGUCUUUACCGGGAGUACCGCGGCCCGGAUAAAGGCGUCGAUUAGCGGUGCACGUGAACCGGGUUACGCCCUUACCCCGGUCACGGUUUAAGGGCUGCCAAAGGCCAGAGCCUGCCGAUAGGCGCUGUCCUGCGGGAGAUGCAAAAUACCGGCUACACUCGUAGAAAGCGCUGGCAAGUGACUUUCGGACAGGGGUUCGACUCCCCUCAUCUCCACCA